CGGGACGGGUGAGUAAUGUCUGGGAAACUGCCUGAUGGAGGGGGAUAACUACUGGAAACGGUAGCUAAUACCGCAUAACGUCGCAAGACCAAAGAGGGGACCUUCGGGCCUCUUGCCAUCGGAUGUGCCCAGAUGGGAUUAGCUAGUAGGUGGGGUAACGGCUCACCUAGGCGACGAUCCCUAGCUGGUCUGAGAGAUGACCAGCCACACUGGAACUGAGACACGGUCCAG
This 231-nucleotide ribosomal RNA is filed under the name uncultured bacterium. RNAcentral's name for it is "partial 16S ribosomal RNA". It matches the Rfam family "Bacterial small subunit ribosomal RNA", at positions 100 to 334 of the family's 1533-position model. The record is from RNAcentral.